This 253-nucleotide ribosomal RNA is filed under the name uncultured bacterium. Its description in RNAcentral is "partial 16S ribosomal RNA". It matches the Rfam family "Bacterial small subunit ribosomal RNA", at positions 524 to 776 of the family's 1533-position model. The record is from RNAcentral.
UACAGAGGGGGCAAGCGUUGUUCGGAAUUACUGGGCGUAAAGGGCGCGUAGGCGGCCUGCUAAGUCGAACGUGAAAUCCCCGGGCUCAACCCGGGAACUGCGUCCGAUACUGACAGGCUUGAAUCCGGGAGAGGGAUGUGGAAUUCCAGGUGUAGCGGUGAAAUGCGUAGAUAUCUGGAGGAACACCGGUGGCGAAGGCGGCAUCCUGGACCGGUAUUGACGCUGAUGCGCGAAAGCCAGGGGAGCAAACGGG